UGAUGACACUUAUUUUAAUUUUGGGAAAAGAACACUGAAGUAUAUUGAGAGAUGAUUUCUCCAUGUUAUCCUUAAAAUGGGAUAGGACAACAAAGCACAUGCUGGCAGAGGAGGCAACGAAGCAAGCAACCUCCAAUAAAUGUAACGCCACCUUUGGAGCACUGCAUUAUUGACCACUUCUCCAUGGACCAAAAUAUCAACCCACUACCUAUAUAAAAUACUCGCCAAAUAUAUGCAAAAAGAAAG
RNAcentral lists this unclassified non-coding RNA (246 nucleotides) under Hevea brasiliensis (rubber tree). The record is from RNAcentral. Lineage: Eukaryota; Viridiplantae; Streptophyta; Magnoliopsida; Malpighiales; Euphorbiaceae.